RNAcentral lists this ribosomal RNA (301 nucleotides) under uncultured bacterium. Its description in RNAcentral is "bacterial SSU rRNA". It matches the Rfam family "Bacterial small subunit ribosomal RNA", at positions 29 to 343 of the family's 1533-position model. The record is from RNAcentral.
AAUGAACGUUGGCGGCGUGGAUUAGGCAUGCAAGUCGCGCGACAAGGAACCUUCGGGUUCUGGAGGAGCGGCAAACGGGGUAGUAAGGCAUCGGAACGUACCCUCUUGUUGGGAAUAGCCGCGGGAAACUGCGAGUAAUGCCCAAUAAUCCCUACGGGGCAAAGGUCCGCCGCAGGAGGAGCGGCCGAUGUGAUACCAGCUAGUUGGUGAGGUAAUGGCUCACCAAGGCUUAGACGUCUAGGGGGUGUGAGAGCAUGGCCCCCACCACCUGGGACGUGAGAUACUGCCCACGACACCUACC